Anolis carolinensis (green anole) is the source of this 3211-nucleotide long non-coding RNA. RefSeq lists it as uncharacterized. The record is from RefSeq and is a predicted model, not a curated record. NCBI's taxonomy places the organism in Eukaryota, Metazoa, Chordata, Lepidosauria, Squamata, Anolidae. The transcript is spliced from 2 exons.
GUGGCUCCUGUUAGGAACACCUGGAGGGACAAAGUUUGCCUAAAAAAAUGUAGUUUUUUAGCUUUUUAGUUUUAAGCCUACUGUCACCAACCUGACACACCUGAGAAAGGUAAAAUCUACCCCUAAGCAACGGCCAGUCUCUUCUUCCUAAAAAACUAAAAAGUUUAUGGUACUUUUUUUUUUGGACAAUUCACAGAAUCCGUAGCUGCGAUAAUAGCCAUUUGGAGAAUCUGGAAGGAAGCAGCAGUUCCAAAAAAAGCAACCUUUAUAAUCUCUGGGAUGUGUCUCUGGAAAGGAUAAAAACAGGCUGUGUGUGGCUGGUAACUUGCAUCUCCCAGUCUCUUGGCAGCAGGAUAAUUUUGUCUGGUUUCUUCGCAAGAGGGGAGCGCAAAAAGGCUCCCCCAAGAAUGGAGAACAGCAGCCAGUCCCCAGUGGGUCGCACUCCGAGUAAUGCAAUUAUUCUUGCUUUUAUGGUCCCUUUGUUUUUCCUGCAACUUUCCAGGCCCUGAGCCCAACUUCCAAUCACUAGAUGUCAAAAUGCCAGUUCCCAAGACAAAGGAAUCUGUAAAUAGCUACAUUUUACAUAUGGGUUGUUGUGAAAUAAACUUUCAGAAGGCAGUUGUUUUCAUUCUUGGAAAAGAUGUUUGGACUUCAAGAUGUUGUGCAAUGGAUUCUUCAAGACUACGUGGCUCCAGUUGAGUAGAUUCACAUGUCAGGAGACAGAAUUUCUUGAUGUUACCACCUAUUCAAGAUGAGGAUGGACGGAUUUUUUUUUCUGUUGAAGGUAUUUUGAUAAAGACUUAUUGAAGGUGUUGUAGCAGCUGAGAGGCAGUCCAGAUCAGGGCUUCGGAUACCUUUUCCCUCUCCGAUCCCUUUCUGCCUGAAAAAAUUAUGUGAAUCUGGGUAUAUAGCCCUAAACACCCAGGCAAUAGGAGUAGAUGAACGAAGGAAGAACCUUGCGGAUUCACAACACUGAGGGACAAAAUUAAGAGUUAUGCGGGGAAUAAAAGUCUUCUGAAGGGUCCCAUGAACCAAGAGGUUUGGUCCAGACCAUAAUAAAAAAGGACAAAAGAAGAGCUGCAAGGCCAAGAACAAGCCACGAGAGUCAAGACAAAGCUCCACCCAGAGGAAAAAGGUUCUUACCAGGCAUCAAGGGAACCACUGACCACAGAGGGAAGCUGAGGAAGAAACACAACCUACAACCUAUCUACAGACCCACUAAGAAGAUCCAACAAAUGCUAUGCUCAGGAAAGGAGAAAAGGGAUCUUCUCACCUCUGCGGGAGUCUACCGUAUUCCAAGUCUACAUAGGAACCUCCAAAUGCAGCAGCAUUGACCAAACACGAAUCAAGGGAGAUGAAAGGCAUUGCAGACUCACUCAACCAGCCAUAGCAGAGCACUUGAGGAGCCAAUCUCGACACAGCAGAUUACUGGAGAACACAGAAAUGCUGGACCACUCUCACAACCACCAUGUCAGGCCACACACAGAAGCCACUGAAAUCCACAAGCAUGUGGACAACUUCAACAGAAAGGAGGAAACCAUCAAAAUGAACACAAUCUGGCUCCCGGUAUUAAAAAACUCUAAAAUCAGGAUAGUAAACAACUAACAACACUCUAAAAACAGGGGAAUUCCAUACAGGGAACAAUCGGGGUCAGCUAGCACCUGCUAACAAAGGAUUCCCUCAGAUGGGAAGCAGCCAGGCCUUGAAGCAGCCAGGCUAAUUAAUGUGAAUCAACAUGAUUAAUUGCAACGUUCACACUUGCCUCAAGCAGAGUAGAGUUUUCUCCCACCCUGGAUAUUAUUCCACAGAUAUAUAAACCUCCCUUGCCUAGUUUCCAACAGACCUCACAACCUCUGAGGAUGCCUGCCAUAGAUGUGGGCAAAACGUCAGAAUGCUUCUGGAACAUGGCCAGACAACCUGGAAAACUCACAGUAACCCAUUGACUCCGGCCAUGAAAGCCUUUGACAACAUAUUGGACAAUUUUUUUUCCAAAAUGCCAGGUUCUGCCCAUUGCGGUGCAUCUGUCUACUUUGUAGAUGGUUUGUCUGGUUAAACCUCACAAGCACUGAAUGUCCAAAUGCUAAGGAAAGGUUGCCCAAAGCUGUACAGUCCGGCUGCCGGGAUCUCACCUUCUCCUCGGUGGAAUAUAGCCAGGGUCCCAUCAGCCAGGGCCACCAGGACACGGCCUUUCACGUGCCUGAAAGCACAAGGGGAGGGCAUCAAUUUCGGAGGAAAAAGGAGAAAAUGCUCCUGUGUCGUGAUGGGGAAUUCAGAGCUGAAUUUGGCAGCCUGAGAUCCCAGUCCUUCUAUUACAAAGUAAACACAACAGCCAGAUUUCUAGCUACGAGGACCUUUUAAAAAAGCAGGUGGUGAUGGGAAAAGGACCUGACUGGAUUUCCUGGGGUUCAACAACCACGGGGUUUUUUCCCCUAUAAGCUUCAAGUCCCUUUUUACUGUGUAAUAAUUAAAUCUGUCCACUUACACCAGGCUCAGCACUGAGUCCUUCAGCUUGAUUGAGUGCAGGCAUUUCUUCCAGUUUGAGACGGCUGAGUGCACAUACAACCUACCACAAAGAAAGUUAGUUUAGUUUGGGCAUCAGGCCAAUCCCCAUUGCAAAUAGUGCUAUGAGAGAGAAAGAGAGAGAGAGAGCACUUCCAUAUCUUCUGGCACAACACUAAUUAGAACGCUAUAAUCAUCUGGAGAGGAUCUUCUCUCUCCCAUCAUCCUCUGGUGGGAACAUGGAAGAGCUCCCAGUCUCUGAAACGCCUUCCCGAGAGAGACCAGGAGGCCUUUUCCCUGCUUGACUUUUGAAUGCUGAUGAAAACAUUCCUCUGAAAUUCAGCUUGUAUUGUAAUCUGGAUUUAAACAUUGGUUUUAUAUACAGCCUCUUUCGACACAGUUUCCAAGGCUUCUCCCCACCACCCCCAAAGAGACUCAAAAGAUACACCCUGACUGGCCCUCUAACCCAGCCCCACGGAGCACUUUGCUAAUCUACUAUUACAACCUCACUGUUUUUAAAUUCUAUGUUUUUAAUAAGUGUGUUUUUAUUCUUUUUGGUUAAUGUGCAAAUAUUACAAUUGGUGCAUGUUAUUGUUUAUUGAUGUAUUGUAUAUUGUUAUUGUUUUGUAUUUGAUAUUUCUGUGAGCCGCCCCGAGUCUCCUCCAGGGGAGAUGGUGGCGGGAUACAAAUAAACUUAUUAUUAUUAUUAUUA